CUGAUUUUCCUCAACUUCAGUAACCACAGGUUCACCUUUUACUGUUUCUGUAGGCUCAACUUCAGUAGCCACAGGUUCUUCUUUUACCGUUUCUGUAGCUUGAACUUCAGUAGCCACAGGUUCUUCUUUUACCAUUUCUCUAGGAUCAACUUCAGUAACCACAGGUUUGACUUUUACUGAUUCUGUCAGAUCAACUUCAGUAACCAGGGGUUCUUUUACUGUUUUUGUAAUUUCAACUUCUGUAGCCACAGCUUCUUCUUUUACUGUCUCUGUAGGAUCAACUUCAGUAACUAUAGGUUCGUCUUUUACCGUUUCUGUUGCCUCGAAUUCAGUAGCUGCAGGUUCAUCUUUUACCAUUUCUGUAGGCUCAACUACAGUUGUCACAGGUUCUUCUUUUACGGUUUCUGUAGCUUCAACUUCAGUAGCCACAGAUUCUUCUUUUACUGUUUCUGUAGCUUCAACUUCAGUAGCCACUGGUUCUUCUUUUACUGUUUCUGUAGCUUCAACUUCAGUAGCCACUGGUUCUUCUUUUACUGUUUCUGUAGCUUCAACUUCAGUAGCUGCAGGUUCGUCUUUUACCGUUUCUGUAGCCUCAACUUCAGUUGCCACAGGUUCUUCUUUUACCGUUUCUGUAGGCUCAACUUCAGUAGCCACGGGUUCUUCUUUUACUGUUUCUGUAGCUUCAGCUUCAGUAGCUAGAGGUUCUUCUUUUACCGUUUCUGUAGGAUCAACUUCAGUAACCACAGGUUCGUCUUUUACGGUUUCUGUAACCUUAACUUCAGUAGCUGCAGGUUCUUCUUUUACUGUUUCCGUAGCCUCAACUUCAGUAGCCACAAGUUCUUCUUUUAGUGUUUCUGUAGCCUCAACUUCAGUAACCACGGGUUCUUCUUUUACUAUCUCUGCA
This 904-nucleotide long non-coding RNA is filed under the name Medicago truncatula (barrel medic). RNAcentral's name for it is "long non-coding RNA (MTRU_LNC006373)". The record is from RNAcentral. Lineage: Eukaryota; Viridiplantae; Streptophyta; Magnoliopsida; Fabales; Fabaceae.